Bubalus bubalis (water buffalo) is the source of this 281-nucleotide long non-coding RNA. RefSeq lists it as uncharacterized. The transcript is spliced from 3 exons. The record is from RefSeq and is a predicted model, not a curated record. NCBI's taxonomy places the organism in Eukaryota, Metazoa, Chordata, Mammalia, Artiodactyla, Bovidae.
GACGCUCUUCAGAUCUGCCAAUUGAGACAAACAGUUCUGAGACUGUUCUUCCACCACUGAUUAAGACUGGGGUGGCAGGUAUUGGGGAUAAUACUCAUUUAACCUUCUGAGCUUUCUGGGCAGACUUGGUGACUUUGCCAGCUCCAGCUGCCUUCUUGUCCACCGCUUUGAUGACACCCACAGCGACCAUCUCUCAUGUCACGCACAGCAAAACAGCCCUUGAGAGGAUAGUUAGAGAAGGUCUUGACACACAUGGGCUUUCCAGGAACCAUAUCAACAAU